Molecule: non-coding RNA, 134 nt
Organism: Gossypium hirsutum (cotton)
Lineage: Eukaryota; Viridiplantae; Streptophyta; Magnoliopsida; Malvales; Malvaceae
Source: Rfam
UAUUAAAAAUUUAAUCUACUUUUACUGUUAAAAACUGGCUCGGCUAAUGGAAUCACUAGACAUUACAUGUGGUGUGACAUAUAUGACGUACAAGAACUAUUUUUUAACAACAAAAAUGAAUGAAAUUUCUAACA